AAGCGGGAAGAGCUUCCAAAUUUUGAAAUUCUUGGUGGCCUCCAGGUCAUCCGAGUUGUAAUCUAUAGAAGUGUUUUCCGUGCUGGCUCAUGUACAAGUCCCUUGGAACAGGGCGUCAUAGAGGGUGAGAAUCCCGUCCUUGACAUGAACUACCAGUGCUCUGUGAUACAUUUUCAACGAGUCGAGUUGUUUGGGAAUGCAGCUCAAAAUGGGUGGUAAAUUCCAUCUAAAGCUAAAUAUUGGCGAGAGACCGAUAGCGAACAAGUACCGUGAGGGAAAGAUGAAAAGCACUUUGGAAAGAGAGUUAAACAGUAUGUGAAAUUGUUAAAAGGGAAACGAUUGAAGUCAGUCGUGCUCUUUGGAUUCAGCCGGUUCUGCCGGUGUACUUCCUUUGAGUGGGGUCAACAUCAGUUUUGAUCGCUGGAUAAAGGCUGGAGGAACGUAGCACCCCCGGGUGAACUUAUAGCCUCCUGUCACAUACAGUGGUUGGGACUGAGGAACGCAGCACGCCUUUAUGGCCAGGAUCCGUCCAUGUACGUGCUUAGGAUGUUGACAUAAUGGCUUUAAACGACCCGUCUUGA
RNAcentral lists this ribosomal RNA (581 nucleotides) under Holtermanniella takashimae. RNAcentral describes it as "partial large subunit ribosomal RNA". It matches the Rfam family "Eukaryotic large subunit ribosomal RNA", at positions 96 to 657 of the family's 3401-position model. Lineage: Eukaryota; Fungi; Basidiomycota; Tremellomycetes; Holtermanniales. The record is from RNAcentral.